Molecule: ribosomal RNA, 1234 nt
Filed under: metagenome
Description: bacterial LSU rRNA
Rfam family: Bacterial large subunit ribosomal RNA
Source: RNAcentral
UGAAUACGAGAUGCUACGGCGUCGAAGCAGUCUAUGUCAUACUUCCAAGAAAAGCUUGCACUGUCAUAAACAAAUAAUGCCUGUACCAUAACCGACACAGGUGGGUAGGUAGAGUAUACUAAGGGGCGCGAGAUAACUCUCUCUAAGGAACUCGGCAAAAUGACUCCGUAACUUCGGGAGAAGGAGUGCCUUAUUUAUAAGGUUGCAAUAACAAGAUCCAAGCAACUGUUUACCAAAAACACAGGUCUCCGCUAAGUCGUAAGACGAUGUAUGGGGGCUGACGCCUGCCCAGUGCCAGAAGGUUAAAGAAGUUGGUUAGCAUCCGCGAAGCUGAUAACUGAAGCCCUGGUGAACGGCGGCCGUAACUAUAACGGUCCUAAGGUAGCGAAAUUCCUUGUCGGGUAAGUUCCGACCCGCACGAAAGGCGUAAUGAUUUGGAUACUGUCUCGGAGAGGGGCUCGGUGAAAUAGACUUGUCUGUGAAGAUGCGGACUACCUGCACCAGGACAGAAAGACCCUAUGAAGCUUUACUGUAACCUGAAAUUGAAAUUGGACUUUACUUGCGCAGUAUAGGUGGGAGGCGUUGAGAAUAUUCUUGCGGGAUUAUUGGAGCCAUCAGUGAGAUACCACUCUUGUAAUGUUAGAUUUCUAACUUUGUAUCAUUAUCUGGUCAAAGAACAGUUUCAGGCGGGCAGUUUGACUGGGGCGGUCGCCUCCUAAACGGUAACGGAGGCGCACAAAGGUUUCCUCUGAACGGGUAGAAAUCGUAUCUAGAGUGUAAAGGCAUAAGGAAGCUUGACUGUGAGACCUACAAGUCGAGCAGGGACGAAAGUCGGUCUUAGUGAUCUGACGGUGCUGAGUGGAAAGGCCGUCACUCAACGGAUAAAAGUUACUCUAGGAUAACAGGCUGAUCUCCCCCAAGAGUUCACAUCGACGGGGAGGUUUGGCACCUCGAUGUCGGCUCAUCGCAUCCUGGGGCGGUAGUACGUCCCAAGGGUUGGGCUGUUCGCCCAUGAAAGCGGUACGCGAGCUGGGUUCAGAACGUCGUGAGACAGUUCGGUCCAUAUCCGGUGUAGGCGUUAGAAUAUUGAGAGGAGCCUUCUUUAGUACGAGAGGACCGAGAAGGACAUACCUCUGGUGUACCAGUUAUCGUGCCAACGGUAAACGCUGGGUAGCUAUGUGUGGAGUGGAUAACCGCUGAAAGCAUCUAAGUGGGAAGCCCACCUCAAGAUAAG